UUUAAUAUGGCAGAAUUAAGUGCAAUGAAAUUAAAAUUCAUACAUAAAAAAUUUUUUUUUAUUAAAA
RNAcentral lists this transfer RNA (67 nucleotides) under Megachile sculpturalis. RNAcentral describes it as "tRNA-Leu". Lineage: Eukaryota; Metazoa; Arthropoda; Insecta; Hymenoptera; Megachilidae. The record is from RNAcentral.